This 526-nucleotide ribosomal RNA is filed under the name uncultured bacterium. RNAcentral describes it as "bacterial SSU rRNA". It matches the Rfam family "Bacterial small subunit ribosomal RNA", at positions 984 to 1509 of the family's 1533-position model. The record is from RNAcentral.
ACAUCCAGAGAACUUAGCAGAGAUGCUUUGGUGCCUUCGGGAACUCUGAGACAGGUGCUGCAUGGCUGUCGUCAGCUCGUGUUGUGAAAUGUUCGGGUUAAGUCCCGCAACGAGCGCAACCCUUAUCCUUUGUUGCCAGCGGUUCGGCCGGGAACUCAAAGGAGACUGCCGGUGAUAAACCGGAGGAAGGUGGGGAUGACGUCAAGUCAUCAUGGCCCUUACGGCCAGGGCUACACACGUGCUACAAUGGCGCAUACAAAGAGAAGCGACCUCGCGAGAGCAAGCGGACCUCAUAAAGUGCGUCGUAGUCCGGAUUGGAGUCUGCAACUCGACUCCAUGAAGUCGGAAUCGCUAGUAAUCGUAGAUCAGAAUGCUACGGUGAAUACGUUCCCGGGCCUUGUACACACCGCCCGUCACACCAUGGGAGUGGGUUGCAAAAGAAGUAGGUAGCUUAACCUUCGGGAGGGCGCUUACCACUUUGUGAUUCAUGACUGGGGUGAAGUCGUAACAAGGUAAGCGUAGCGAG